ACGUGAGCGACGACGAAGAGUAGUAGCUUAUGUGGUCACUUCAGAGAGCCGGUGGCUGGUGGAAACCGGUGUGACCCAUACGUGAAUGGACUUCCGAGCACUAUAGCUGAAAUAACAGUAGGCUGUAGCGGCAACUCCCCCGAUAGCAGGAGCAAAGUGAGCUAGUGCGCUAGCUAACAAAGGUGGUACCACGGGUAAUCUCGUCCUUUAU
Molecule: non-coding RNA, 211 nt
Filed under: Terribacillus aidingensis
Lineage: Bacteria; Bacillati; Bacillota; Bacilli; Caryophanales; Bacillaceae
Description: T-box sequence
Rfam family: T-box leader
About the family: Uncharged tRNA acts as the effector for transcription antitermination of genes in the T-box leader family. T-boxes are found upstream of many aminoacyl-tRNA synthetase genes and some amino acid biosynthetic genes usually in Gram-positive bacteria.
Source: RNAcentral